Molecule: long non-coding RNA, 495 nt
Organism: Oreochromis aureus
Lineage: Eukaryota; Metazoa; Chordata; Actinopteri; Cichliformes; Cichlidae
Exons: 4
Source: RefSeq, a predicted model, not a curated record
CAAAAUAUUUGACUUAAUAACGCAAAAAUUCAUCUUAUUUUCUCAGAAGUUGGAAAAAGAAAGAAAAAAACGGCACCCGUAAGUUAAAAUUUGGGGUAAAUUUUGGGUAGCUCAGAUUUUGAAGUGACUCAGUAAUAACUCUAAAUUUCCAGUCAGUAACUUGAAGAUUUGACUUCAAUUCAGCUUAGUUUCAGGUUUUCCAGGGCCACGUUAAAUAAAACAACUGGAGCAGCACCAAAGUACAAACAAGAAAGGAGGCCAGAGCUGCAUUUCCCAGUGCGGGUCAGACAUCACAGUAACCCGCCUCCUUCUGCUUCUGGUCUUCUCUGGUACAAAUGCACAGUUGUCCAGUCAGCCAGCUGGUCAUGACUGUCAGCAGGACCUCGGCUCAGGCUGCGGAUGGAGGCCAGAUGGCUUUGUGAACAUCCUUCUGUUAACGAUUACAGAGUAAAUUCGGCCCAGCUCUGAAUUUCAUCUACCCACUGAUUCCACUGU